Molecule: non-coding RNA, 79 nt
Organism: Streptomyces sp. 2114.4
Lineage: Bacteria; Bacillati; Actinomycetota; Actinomycetes; Kitasatosporales; Streptomycetaceae
Source: Rfam
GCCGGUCCUCGGUAGUGGCCCCCGGACGAUCCAUGGACGCCAUGUGUCAUCACUCCGGGUGCUUCGAUCGAAGACCGGC